RNAcentral lists this ribosomal RNA (387 nucleotides) under uncultured bacterium. Its description in RNAcentral is "bacterial SSU rRNA". It matches the Rfam family "Bacterial small subunit ribosomal RNA", at positions 370 to 772 of the family's 1533-position model. The record is from RNAcentral.
AAUGGGGGAAACCCUGAUGCAGUGAUGCCGCGUAUAGGAAGAAGGUUUUCGGAUUGUAAACUAUUGUCGACAGGGAAGAUGAAAAGACGGUACCUGUGGAGGAAGCCCCGGCUAACUACGUGCCAGCAGCCGCGGUAAUACGUAGGGGGCGAGCGUUGUCCGGAAUUAUUGGGUGUAAAGGGUGCGUAGACGGGUUGUUAAGUUAGUUGUGAAAUCCCCAGGCUCAACCUGGGAACUGCAACUAAAACUGGCAAUCUUGAGUAUGGGAGAGGAAAGUGGAAUUCCUAGUGUAGCGGUGAAAUGCGUAGAGAUUAGGAGGAACACCAGUGGCGAAGGCGACUUUCUGGACCAAAACUGACGUUGAGGCACGAAAGUGUGGGGAGCAAA